Molecule: non-coding RNA, 3253 nt
Organism: Osmia lignaria (orchard mason bee)
Lineage: Eukaryota; Metazoa; Arthropoda; Insecta; Hymenoptera; Megachilidae
Source: RefSeq, a predicted model, not a curated record
CUCGAACCAUGGCAACACUGUGAACAGUGUAAACUGACAAGCAAGAUGCGCGCGCACCAUUUUCAGGUUAGCGAAAAAUUGAAAACUGCAAUAAUAUGUAACGUAUGCAAGUACUUAGGCGCGGCGGUCAUACGAUCAACGUUAAUUCAAUGCAACACAUUAUUUACGUCGAUUUAUAUUUAUAACCAAGAUUAGAACAAUACAUUAUUCGAUAAAUUUAUGAGCUACGAUCGAGCCAAUCUUAGAACGCGGUAAACUAACGCAUCGACAAAAAAUCGAUCGAUUUACAUUCGUAAACAAUCGAACGAGUCACGCGAUCGAUAUUAAGGUUGAACUUUGUUUUUACGCCGGCAAAAAUUAGUAACUUUUUUGUAAACACGGGUAGAAUGUCGGCUUCUAUCACGUCUGGAUGUCUCAACUAUACUGCCUAAACAAGAAGAGCUAACAUCAGUUUUAAAUCAAAUGUGAUACUAUUAUUUGCGCCGAUUUUCAUUCAUAAUCAAUAAUCGGGUUAGAAAAAUAAAUUAUUAAGAACGCGAUACGGACCAGAAAUCAACGAAUUUACAUUCGUAAACAUAUUUAUGAUUUUCCAAACAACAACAAGUACAUAACGGCCUUUUUCGUGACGUAACGAAUAAAUUCCUAACGUACAUACGUACUUACAUAGUUUCACGUUCAUCGGUAAGACGAUGCAUGAAUAUUUCUCAGCGUUAACAACGGACAACGAUAAACAACAGGUACACCAGAUGUUGUUUAAACGGUUAUUAUUUAAACGAUUGCUACCUAAGAAAAGGUGGAAGAGUAUGUGAGAAUAGAACAUUUCAACGCAAGAUGUUUCUCAAAGUACCGUAAUAAGCGAAGCCAUCGUAAUGAUAUAAAUAUCAGAAUUAUCGCAUGGUAUAUUUAGCUUACAGACGUCGAAGUCGGUAAACAACAAACCACGAUCCGUCAUACGAUUUCAAAACGGCCAUCAUGCAGAUUGAUUUCUUCUUCUUUUCUCUUCUCUUCUCUUUUAUAAUUGCUCGCGAGUAUGUAUAUAGCAUUGCUUAUUACGAAUGGUGAAAAAUUUAAGUGAGCAGUAAACAAAUCAAGUCCAGUCAGUAGAGAUUCGUGACUAAAUUUAAUCGUAUGUAUGCACAUAAGUGAUGCACGUGACUUGACGAAUUAAAAAAUCUAUUCUAUCAACGACGAUUAAAUCGUUGAUAAUUUAUUAGCAGUGAAAUUGGGGCGACAAACACUGUUCUCGGAAUAGACAUUGCGUUAUUUCAACGUACUCGAUUAUCGAUCUAUAGAAACAAAAAAAUGUAUCGCGUUCUAUAAGUUUAAUCGAUACACCAUUAGCUAUUAUUAUUCGCUCUAUCAAAUACUAAUCACUAAUCACUAAUCAAUAAUCAGAAUUUGAAAAUUAUUUGAAUAAUUUUAUCGAAUAAAGAAGAGGCGAACAAUACGAACAGAGGGUGGUUGCUGAACCUCGAUUUACCGUUCUGAAAACUUACGCUCCCCUUUUGCACAACCUGAUCUACCUCAAGUGAUAUACGUUAAGAAGAAAAUCGAUCAUUCUAACACGCGUGCGUGUCACCACGCACCCAUUUUCCUCUCCCAAAGAAAAAAAAUAAACUCGUUAAUUGGUGUAUAUUCGAUAUACGCAGAGGUGAAGAUAAGCAGUUCGGGACGAGAAACUACUAAUAUAGUAAUUAUACAAAGAGAAUUGCGACUUAGCCUCGAGAUGGAUACGCGAAAUCUAAAUAUGGAUAUCGAUAUUCCGUAACGUUCCACCUGUUUUGGAACCUAAUUCGAUUUAUCUACUUACUCGAGAAUAAUUAAUACUAUACGAUUAUUCUUGAGAAUAUUCAUGUGAAUCAUCCAUUCAAAGCUUACGUUAGAAAAUAAUAGGUAAGUAAUUGUUCGCUUACCCACAGAAUCACCGUUCUUCUUGCCAUUGUUGUUCUUGUUCUUCUUAUUCUUCGGAUAGAUGUUACCGAUUUUGCUCUGUCCACAACCCAUCCUGGUUUGUUGCGUGCUCGUACGCUGCUCACACUGAACUUCACUUUCCACCAACUUCCAAUACUUUUCAAUUUUCUUUUACAACUUUCCGUAAACAAUCGUUUCGCUCGAGAAAAGAAAAAAGAAGAAGAAGAAAAAAAAAGAUUUCUUUUCUGAAGAAAUUAACUCGAAAGAAUUGUUCUCAUUGCCCUCAUUGUCUAUCGUUAACAUUUGCGUGGUCGUUCAAAGAUACAAGUUUCUUCUACAUAUUAGGCAGCGAAACAACUUUUUCAUGUCUACCUACAUACAGAUACGUACAUGUACGUAUAUUUCUUUUAUACGCAUCCGUGUAAACAUAUAUAUGUAUAUAUGUAUGUAUGUAUGUAUGUAUGUAUAAAGAAAGCAGGCAGAUUGUUAAUCACACGAGAUCCCAAAAGAUAUGUAUUGUAUGUAGAUGCGAAACAAUAAACGCGAAAGACAAAGUCUAAAACAUUUAACGAAUUCAGUCUUUUCAUCAACCAGAGACUUUCCUCUUACAUUCAACUAACGCUAUCACCAGUUUAAACCAACUGAUUUUUAACACGUUCAUCAGUCUUUGGAACCGAUUUCAAAAGGGCAGCUAUAUGUGUAUAUGUAUGUGUAGGUAUAUAUUGUAGAAAGAGCGUAUCUUAACAUAACUUUCUCUGUUUCCUUCUGACAAAAUCAGUUGUCUUUGACCAAAGAACUUAGCUAUCGGGGCUCGUUUCGCCCCGGUCGCCGUGGACUUUCUCGUCUCUGGCUACCUGAGCCGAGUCACCCAAUCCAUGUUGCGUCUCAACUUUCUUCUACCACCCCAUCAUUCGUUAUCUAUCAUCUAUCCCAUGUCCAAAGAAGCCAAUCGUGCAUCCUCCCAAUCUAUCGUCGUCCUGUACAUUCGUUUGCUCGUCACUGGUUCUUCUCUCAAAAGGAGGAAUGUAUCUGAACCCAGAUUUCUAUACGAUCCACCUUACCAACUAAUCGAGUCUGAACAACACUGUUCCAUCGUAGAAUCGACUUCCGGUUUCAGUCAGUGACCACGUUUGAACGUGGUUAAAAAACUGGCUGACACAUGUUUCGGUUACGUGAUCCACUCUACCGAAUUCUCUCUUCCGUUUCUGAUCGGAUUCUGCAAAAUAAAAAAAUACAGAAUGAAACUUUCUUCCGUUUGAACCUCCCAUCUAUCGUGUCUCGGUGUUACACUUUACUUUCUUCAGGUUUAAUAUGUGUAUGCAUCAAUAAAACAAUUGUAAAA